This 232-nucleotide ribosomal RNA is filed under the name Klebsiella pneumoniae. RNAcentral describes it as "partial 23S ribosomal RNA". It matches the Rfam family "Bacterial large subunit ribosomal RNA", at positions 1001 to 1233 of the family's 2925-position model. The record is from RNAcentral. Lineage: Bacteria; Pseudomonadati; Pseudomonadota; Gammaproteobacteria; Enterobacterales; Enterobacteriaceae.
ACGUCCGUCGUGAAGAGGGAAACAACCCAGACCGCCAGCUAAGGUCCCAAAGUCAUGGUUAAGUGGGAAACGAUGUGGGAAGGCACAGACAGCCAGGAUGUUGGCUUAGAAGCAGCCAUCAUUUAAAGAAAGCGUAAUAGCUCACUGGUCGAGUCGGCCUGCGCGGAAGAUGUAACGGGGCUAAACCAUGCACCGAAGCUGCGGCAGCGACACUAUGUGUUGUUGGGUAGGG